GCUGCGUGUAGUGGCGUGCACCUCUAGUCCCAACUACUCAGGAGGCUGAGGCAGGAGGGUCCUCAGAUCCAGGAGUUCUGUGCUAUAGUGUGCUCUGUUGGUCUAGUGUCCACACUAAGUUCAGCACCAAUAUGGUGACCUCCUGGGAGCCGGGGACUACCAGGUUGCCUAAGGAGGGGUGAACCAGCUCAGGUUGGGGAAACAGAGCAGGUCAAAACUCCCAUGCUGAUCAGUAGUGGGAUCAUGCCUGUGAAUAGCCAGUGAACCAGCCUGGACAACAUAGUGAGAUCCCAUCUCU
This 298-nucleotide signal recognition particle RNA is filed under the name Microcebus murinus (gray mouse lemur). RNAcentral's name for it is "Metazoan signal recognition particle RNA (ENSMICG00000038622.2)". It matches the Rfam family "Metazoan signal recognition particle RNA". Rfam says of the family: The signal recognition particle (SRP) is a universally conserved ribonucleoprotein. It is involved in the co-translational targeting of proteins to membranes. The eukaryotic SRP consists of a 300-nucleotide 7S RNA and six proteins: SRPs 72, 68, 54, 19, 14, and 9. Lineage: Eukaryota; Metazoa; Chordata; Mammalia; Primates; Cheirogaleidae. The record is from RNAcentral.